Non-coding RNA from Echinostoma caproni, 82 nucleotides. The record is from Rfam. Lineage: Eukaryota; Metazoa; Platyhelminthes; Trematoda; Plagiorchiida; Echinostomatidae.
GGCCUCGUAGCUCAGCUGGUAGAGCAUGCGCGUACAAAGAACAGGCGGCAUCCAUGCGUGAGUUCGAAUCCCACCGAGGCUA